AUUGAACGCUGGCGGCAGGCCUAACACAUGCAAGUCGAGCGGAUGAAGGGAGCUUGCUCCUGGAUUCAGCGGCGGACGGGUGAGUAAUGCCUAGGAAUCUGCCUGGUAGUGGGGGAUAACGUCCGGAAACGGGCGCUAAUACCGCAUACGUCCUGAGGGAGAAAGUGGGGGAUCUUCGGACCUCACGCUAUCAGAUGAGCCUAGGUCGGAUUAGCUAGUUGGUGGGGUAAAGGCCUACCAAGGCGACGAUCCGUAACUGGUCUGAGAGGAUGAUCAGUCACACUGGAACUGAGACACGGUCCAGACUCCUACGGGAGGCAGCAGUGGGGAAUAUUGGACAAUGGGCGAAAGCCUGAUCCAGCCAUGCCGCGUGUGUGAAGAAGGUCUUCGGAUUGUAAAGCACUUUAAGUUGGGAGGAAGGGCAGUAAGUUAAUAUCUUGCUGUUUUGACAUUACCAACAGAAUAAGCACCGGCUAACUUCGUG
RNAcentral lists this ribosomal RNA (484 nucleotides) under uncultured bacterium. RNAcentral's name for it is "partial 16S ribosomal RNA". It matches the Rfam family "Bacterial small subunit ribosomal RNA", at positions 30 to 507 of the family's 1533-position model. The record is from RNAcentral.